GAUGAACGCUGGCGGCGUGCCUAAUACAUGCAAGUCGAGCGAACAGACGAGGAGCUUGCUCCUUCGACGUUAGCGGCGGACGGGUGAGUAACACGUAGGUAACCUACCUAUAAGACUGGGAUAACUUCGGGAAACCGGAGCUAAUACCGGAUAAUAUUUCGAACCGCAUGGUUCGAUAGUGAAAGAUGGCUUUGCUAUCACUUAUAGAUGGACCUGCGCCGUAUUAGCUAGUUGGUAAGGUAACGGCUUACCAAGGCAACGAUACGUAGCCGACCUGAGAGGGUGAUCGGCCACACUGGAGCUGAGACACGGUCCAGACUCCUACGGGAGGCAGCAGUAGAGAAUCUUCCGCAAUGGGCGAAAGCCUGACGGAGCAACGCCGCGUGAGUGAUGAAGGUCUUCGGAUCGUAAAACUCUGUUAUUAGGGAAGAACAAACGUGUAAGUAACUGUGCACGUCUUGACGGUACCUAAUCAGAAAGCCACGGCUAACUACGU
RNAcentral lists this ribosomal RNA (496 nucleotides) under uncultured bacterium. Its description in RNAcentral is "partial 16S ribosomal RNA". It matches the Rfam family "Bacterial small subunit ribosomal RNA", at positions 28 to 506 of the family's 1533-position model. The record is from RNAcentral.